AACAUUUGCAAGGCAUCGACAAUGACCUUCUGUAGGUGAACUGCGGAAGGAUCAUUG
Molecule: ribosomal RNA, 57 nt
Filed under: Clitoria ternatea
Lineage: Eukaryota; Viridiplantae; Streptophyta; Magnoliopsida; Fabales; Fabaceae
Description: partial small subunit ribosomal RNA
Source: RNAcentral